UACAGAGGGGGCAAGCGUUGUUCGGAAUUACUGGGCGUAAAGGGCGCGUAGGCGGUUCUUUAAGUCAGGCGUGAAAGCCCUGGGCUCAACCUGGGAGUGGCGCUUGAUACUGGAGGACUAGAGAGUGGGAGAGGUUGGUGGAAUUCCCAGUGUAGAGGUGAAAUUCGUAGAUAUUGGGAAGAACACCGGUGGCGAAGGCGGCCAACUGGACCAUUUCUGACGCUGAGGCGCGAAAGCGUGGGGAGCAAACAGG
This 253-nucleotide ribosomal RNA is filed under the name uncultured bacterium. RNAcentral's name for it is "partial 16S ribosomal RNA". It matches the Rfam family "Bacterial small subunit ribosomal RNA", at positions 524 to 776 of the family's 1533-position model. The record is from RNAcentral.